GCGUGCCACACGCUCAGCAUGGGCCUGGCCCACCGUGGGUGUGCCAGCAAUGAACACACUGCCUGGGGGUGACCAGAGCCGCCGUGUCUGCGGUUCCCUCGGUGGGAAUGUGCUCUGUGCGUCCGCCGGGCUGGCUCAGAAGCUCACGGAAGCCCUUUCAACACUGUGCAGAGCCAGGUGGACAAUAAAAUGUUUGGGAAAGAGGAGAACCGUUUUCAAAAUGAUAUGAAUAUAUUUAAAUCCAUUAAAAUGUUUCAUUUGACUUACAUUCGUUUAUCUUCAACCUCUUCAUGAGCUCAGUGAGUCGAGUUCUGUUAGCUUCCAUACAGUUGCCCACAACUUAUUUCAACUCCUUUUUUUUAGCAGAUUGCCCCUACUGAAUUUUUCCAAAUCACUCAACUUCGUUUUUCUAGGAAUGACACCAUUUUGUUUUUACACUCACUGUCCAGAGUUUAA
RNAcentral lists this long non-coding RNA (456 nucleotides) under Homo sapiens (human). RNAcentral's name for it is "non-protein coding lnc-DPP6-4:1". Lineage: Eukaryota; Metazoa; Chordata; Mammalia; Primates; Hominidae. The record is from RNAcentral.